Trematomus bernacchii (emerald rockcod) is the source of this 564-nucleotide non-coding RNA. The record is from the annotation of a RefSeq genome assembly. Lineage: Eukaryota; Metazoa; Chordata; Actinopteri; Perciformes; Nototheniidae.
AUGUCUCUGAUUGAAUCGGCAGAGGAUCCUCACCUGAUCUCUUUGGCUGUGGUAGAAUUACUGAACCUUUUUAUAGACACACGGUUCAAAGCAACAAAAGAGGAUACUCAUUAUCUUUUCACAAUCAGAAAUGUCAGAAAAGAGGACGAAGCAACAUAUUUCUGUCUCACUGGAUCAACGUAUUCACAGAGUUUUGGCAUUGGCAUCUUCUUAGCUGUGAAAGAUCAGCGGAAAUCUGUCUACGUGAAGCAAAGUCCAAAGACCAAGUCAGUCCAGCCCGGCGACACAGUGACUCUGGAGUGUUCACUUAUCUCCAAAAACAACGAAAGCGCAGAUCAGUGUCCAGGUGAACACAAUGUUUCCUGGUUCAGAUCUGGAUCAGGAGAAUCUCAUCCAAGCAUAAUUUACACUCACAGUGAGGAACAAAAGGAACGCAGUUGUGUCUUCAGUCUGUCCAAAAUUAUACACAACUCCUCUGAUAACGGGACGUAUUACUGUGCUGUGGCUACAUGUGGACAGAUCCUGUUUGGAGAAGGAACUACAGUGGAGACAAGUAUGUUUUAA